Molecule: long non-coding RNA, 3866 nt
Organism: Triticum aestivum (bread wheat)
Lineage: Eukaryota; Viridiplantae; Streptophyta; Magnoliopsida; Poales; Poaceae
Exons: 2
Source: RefSeq, a predicted model, not a curated record
UUCGAUGCUCCUCGAUCUGUACGGUAUGGCGCCACCGCCGGCCGGUCUUCUUCUCCGGCCGUCAGCGUCCUCUUUUCCUUCCCCUCAAUAUCCGCUCCUAAUCUUCUCCGGCGUCUCCCGCAGUCUCCUCAAUCUCCAACCUCUUGCUCCAGUGUUGUUCUUCUCUGAUUUGGAUCGAGUUUGAGUCCGUCUCCAACACAAAAUCAUGGAGUGCCCGACCCGGAUUGGACUUGGCGGCCAUAAGAAGGAAGGAUCCUCCACCGCCUGCCUGCCUUGCCUCUCGGCGUUCUCGCGUCGCGGCUCGACCUGGCCCUUGCCCUGUCUCUCGCCAUCGGCUGCCAGGUCAGGGCCCUCGCCCUUGUCCUCCUUCUCGGCGCCUGGGCCGCGAGCCACGCUCAGCCCCCUCCUUGGCUUCGAUCUGAUGGCCCUUCCCCAACCUCCUCGACCUCGACAGAUCCGGGAGGCCGCCGCUCGGUGAGGAAGGUGUGUUGUGAUGUCUGAAGUCCUCUUACUUCCACAAAGUUUCAGGUUUAACCUCUGUAUAAUCUCAACUCAAGCAAGUUUCGCGCAGCAAUCGAGGAGGCUUUCCUAGCCCAGCUUGUUUUUCUGAACUCCAAAUAGGUGGGUUCUGCUCUCUCGAGUAGUUUGUGGAUGAGCUUCCAUGUAUAGGCUUUGCUGACUACAGUUUUUUUAAGGAUUAGAAAAUACAGAGUAUUUCUGUCCUGAUUGUACAGAAGAGAAUAAUGAUAGUUGAACCUUGAACGGGCAUAUGUGCUAGAGCGGCGGAAGCUUGUGAAGCCAUGGUCUGUGAUCUGCAGAUAUAUAGUAGGAACAAGUGCGAUUUGGAUUUCCUUUUUGUUUGUCUUAUGUGUCGCUUUGAGAUGAUGAGGCCGAGAUAUGGCCUCGCUGCUGUGCGUCAAAACCAUGGCUCGAAUGUGUGUUCCAGCCUCUAUCAGACCUGGCCUCUACGCAUAUCCUUCCAAGCUACGGUGGUGCACAUGCUAGGCUACUCAUUUGGUGCAGCCACCCCCCUUCCAACAAAGCAAGUUUUUUCAUUCAGAUUUUAGACCUCUUGAGUUCCACUUUAGUUCAAUAAAGGAAAGCUUUCUCUUCAUGGUUUGCUCCUUAUGAUUCAAGAAGGAAGACCACUAGACACUUUUCUAUAAUUAGGUGAUGUAGUGAACCUUCAUCUUGCAGUCAAAUUGCUUACCUAUACUGCCUCUUCAUUUGCACCGUCAAAAAUUGCACAUGGGCUGUUUCAGACUUUGAGGGUUCAGAAAACAGCUUGAAGAGCCAAUCGGUAUGAAGGUGUUGCUCCUUUGUACUAGAUCGUAAAUAGAAGGGGACAUGGUUCAGAUUUGUGACUAUUGUGUGCUCUUGGACAACCGAGGUACAUGUUAGUUUUCUUUAACUACAGAAGCUAAAUUCUUGGGAAUUAGGAUAUCAGGUGUACACAUUACUUUUAUUUUGAAUCAUGUUCUCAAUGCACUAUCUAUCUAUCCAAGUAUUCAAGGGAAUUAAUGGUGGCGGAAUACAUGCGUUUGCUCGUGCCCUUGUGCCCCUUGCUGCUCGACCUUUUUUGGGGUUCUAGCAUGACUCUAUGGUCAGUCUUACUGAGAUUGUUGGUCCUGUUCUAACUUAUGAUAAUGUUGAUCGGUAGGGAGUGGGGGUCAGAAGAGGGACGUUGGUGGUGUUCGAGAUGUAUCGGUGGUCACCUGUUGGCAGGGCCCUCAUGGAGACACUGGACAAGAUGAUGCUCAGUGGUGUGCUCAGCCCCGAGCUCGCCUUAAGCGUCCUCCUGCAGUCCGUCCAUGAGCGGUUGGAGCACCAGGUUAAGAGCAAGGCAUUCUUCAAGUAAUUCAUCUCAUCCAGUAGCUUGAUAGUUUUUUCGGUAAGUCAUCUCAUCCAGUAGCUUGAUAGUAGGGCUGGUUUCUAUUGGUGCAUUACUUCGUAAUGAAAAUAAAUCACAUCGCCUUUACCCAAUGAUUUUUGUCCAGAACCAAUCAUAUUAUUUCUUUUCUACGAGUACUAUAUAUGUUGAUUAUUCAGAGGUCGCAUCUUCAUGAGACUUGCAAAGGUAAGACGUACGAAGAAUGAGAGAUGGUGCAAGUUUCUUAAGUUUAUCAUCCCAUUCAAGCAUCACAAAAUGUGAGUAGUACUAUUCAAAGGGGUGAAGAAAUAACAUGCUAAUCAUUUUUAGAGGGCAAACUAGCUACCAUUUUUUUAAAUGGAGUGUGGCAUUGACCUCUGAGUCUGGAGCAAUUGUACUCAAAGUGUUUGAUAUUAACAAGUGACAACUAGCCAGACUGGUUACAUGUGAUGCGCUCCCUAGAGUCGCAACAGAGGCGAUAAACUCUUAGGUAUUUUUGGUAAAAUAAAUUUGUUCUUCUGUACAUUUUGUUGUACGAGCUAAAACAUCGCAGUUUAGACAAACAACACACUGCAGCCUCUGUUUAAUUGGAUUAAAGAUGCACAUCUGCCUUUUCUUGCGUUGUGCUCAGAGCAUAGAAUUUCAUUCUGUUAAUUCAUUGAUCGUGGCAGGAUUUAAACUUCUACAGGAAAUUAGUAGUGAUUGUUUGUACUGCAUUUCAAAGUUAGAACUAAAGGAGACACGGGCAUGACAAUUACACCAUUUGAAGGUCUAUCUUUUGCACAAUCUGAAUUUAUUAUUGUGUUGGCGAGCUAUGAAAGAACGGUGGUGCUGCAGCACUGAGGUACGUAUAUUACUUGCAAUGACAUGCAUUUGAUGGCCACCUUUACAGAAGCUCCUCUCUGGAAACAAGGAGCAAAUGACUAUUAUUUGAAAUCUGUUGUGCAUUAUUAUUUUUGGUUAUGUUCCAAAAUCCUAGAUGCAUAGCAAAGCACAUUAGUGGAUAUAUGAAUCAUUUUUGUCUACUGAUUCUUGUUCAAUUACUUUUAUGAAAGGCAAGGGUAUGCACUUUUCACUAUCAAUCUUGGAGUAAGACGUCUGCAGGUGAGGAGUAGUUGAUGAAAGCUAUUGGUUACCACACCUCUUAUUAGUGCCAAGUUGUAGCAUCUGAAUUGUUGUGGUGUUCUUUCAUAGUCUUUCUUAGCUUCAUUUAUUUUCCAUUGAUUGGCUGACCUAUAUAGUGUUGUAAUUUCCCAUAAUUGCAAACUAUCGGGUUAACAUAUUGGCAUCUGCCAGUGUUGCCCUUCAUAUUGGAAAGACUGAAAAUGCUGAAGAACUGCCUGGCAAGCAUAUUGGCAGUAGACUUCCGGUGAGACUUCAGUUUCCAUCAUCAAAGUGCUCCUAAGAUUAGUUAAGUAGAAAAUGUUUUAUUAAAGGACUCAUAAAAGCUUAUUUGGAAUUGUAUGAGGUUACUUUAUGGAACAACAACGUGUGAUAUGCUAAGUAAUAAACGGUUACAUAAGUUCAUUCAGGAGUUCACCAUCAAUUUGCUAUGGUUGUCAUAAGUCAUGGACUACAAAUGAUAUAAAUCUAUAGAUUGACCUCUUAUUAUAUCCUGAGUGCCAUAAAUUUCAAGAGAACAACAAGGCAUCUUACCUGCUUUAUUCUUCCUUGCAUAACUAUAUAUGCAACUGGACUUUAUCAUUUGUCACACUGAUUUAUACACUGUAAUUAUGUAGCCACCCAUUGCGUCAAAAUGAGCCUGCCUUGGUCCAGGGAGAUAGAGAAGGUGGCUCGUUCGCAAGUUCAAGCUGGCCAUGAGCGACGCUCUUAGUCGCUCCCAGCAAUGCACUGCAUGUUGGCUGGGAUCUUACCCAGAUAGUAUCUCCAGUACUGUAAUGGCAGACUACUCCUGAUUAGUUGAGUGAUACAAUUUAUUUCCAAUUUUUUUUAUGUUUUAGCCCAUGGUUACUUGGUUAAAGAGUGUUAUGUUUUU